UAAGGAAUAUUGGGCAAUGGACGGCAGUCUGACCCAGCCAUCCCGCGUGUAGGAAGAAGGCCCUCCGGGUUGUAAACUACUUUUGGGGGAGACGAAGAGCCCGUACGUGUACGGGUGUGACGGUAUCCUCAGAAUCAGCACCGGCUAACUCCGUGCCAGCAGCCGCGGUAAUACGGAGGGUGCCAGCGUUAUCCGGAAUCACUGGGUUUAAAGGGUGCGUAGGCGGGCUUGUAAGUUUGGGGUGAAAGGCCAGCGCUUAACGCUGGGAGGUCCCUGGAUACUGCGAGUCUUGGAGGGAGUUGAGGUGAGCGGAAUGUGGCAAGUAGCGGUGAAAUGCGUAGAUAUGCCAUAGAACACCGAUUGCGAAGGCAGCUCACUGGGCUUUACUUGACGCUGAGGCACGAAAGCGUGGGGAGCGAACAGGAUUAGAUACCCGUGUAGUCC
RNAcentral lists this ribosomal RNA (444 nucleotides) under uncultured prokaryote. Its description in RNAcentral is "bacterial SSU rRNA". It matches the Rfam family "Bacterial small subunit ribosomal RNA", at positions 355 to 796 of the family's 1533-position model. The record is from RNAcentral.